GGGAGUGUAGCUCAGUAGGUAGAGCAACUGGCUUUUAACCAGUUGGCCGGGGGUUCAACUCCCUCCACUCUCA
This 73-nucleotide transfer RNA is filed under the name Rickettsiales bacterium. RNAcentral describes it as "tRNA-Lys". It matches the Rfam family "tRNA". From Rfam's summary of the family: Transfer RNA (tRNA) molecules are approximately 80 nucleotides in length. Their secondary structure includes four short double-helical elements and three loops (D, anti-codon, and T loops). Lineage: Bacteria; Pseudomonadati; Pseudomonadota; Alphaproteobacteria; Rickettsiales. The record is from RNAcentral.